UAGGGAAUCUUCCACAAUGGACGCAAGUCUGAUGGAGCAACGCCGCGUGAGUGAAGAAGGUUUUCGGAUCGUAAAGCUCUGUUGUUGGUGAAGAAGGAUAGAGGCAGUAACUGGUCUUUAUUUGACGGUAAUCAACCAGAAAGUCUCGGCUAACUACGUGCCAGCAGCCGCGGUAAUACGUAGGUGGCAAGCGUUGUCCGGAUUUAUUGGGCGUAAAGCGAGCGCAGGCGGAAUGAUAAGUCUGAUGUGAAAGCCCACGGCUCAACCGUGGAACUGCAUCGGAAACUGUCAUUCUUGAGUGCAGAAGAGGAGAGUGGAAUUCCAUGUGUAGCGGUGGAAUGCGUAGAUAUAUGGAAGAACACCAGUGGCGAAGGCGGCGCUCUGGUCUGCAACUGACGCUGAGGCUCGAAAGCAUGGGUAGCGAACAGG
This 429-nucleotide ribosomal RNA is filed under the name bacterium. RNAcentral describes it as "partial 16S ribosomal RNA". It matches the Rfam family "Bacterial small subunit ribosomal RNA", at positions 355 to 776 of the family's 1533-position model. The record is from RNAcentral.